GCUCUGACCGGCCGACACGCUCACUUGCGGCCCUUGGGCACUUUGGGGACGCUGGGCUUGGCCGCCUUCUUCACCUUCUUGCCCCCGGCGGCCGCCGUCUUCUUGGCCUUGCCGCCUUUGUCCUUCUUGGCGCCAGCGCCCUUCUUGUGCGAGCGCUGCUCCGGCUUCUGGCCCCUGGCGGGCUUCUUGUCCGCGCGCCGGGAGCCGGCCGCGCCCGGGGCUGCCUUCUUCGCUUUGUGCGCGGUGGGGGCCGGGGCGGUGGCGGCCGCCGGGGCUCCGCGCCGCUCCCCGCCGCCCUCCAGCUUCUUGCGGUUGAGCUUGAAGGAACCGUUGGCGCCGGUGCCCUUCACCUGCAGAAGCGUGUCGUUCUGCACCAGCGCCUUGAUCGAGUACUUGAGAUGGGGACAACGCCGCCGAGCCGCCAGCCUUGGUCACCUUCUUGGCCAUUCCCUCGGCGGUCGUCACUGGCAGGGCCUCCUCGAGCUCCACGGACAUGGGAAAUGAUGGCGGGAACACAGCAAAGGAGACCAUGUCCUGGAGAGGGUCCCGGGCCCCACCCUCCCCGGGGGGGCUUGUGCAAGGCUGGCGGCCCGAUCUCUGCUGAUUCCAGUAUUGGGGGUGCAGAGAAGGCACAGGACAGUUUUUGUUGAAGCCGUUGCAGCCUCCACUUGGGGAAGCUGAGGCCAGGGGCACAGGACAACGUUGAGGGCCUGAGGCCUCCACCUUCUUGAAGAAGGACCAUGUGAAUUUCCUGACAGAGAACGGGGAUGGGUUUCUGAAAGCACCACCCAGCUGAGCCUGCCGAAACUGCACAGCUGUUUCCAGGCCAGGCUGGCUGCAUGGAGGACGUGAGAGGAACAGCCAGCUGUGUGUGCUGGGCCCACUGAUCAGGGUGCUCAGGACCAGGAGCCUUCUGAGGAUGUGCAGAGGGGACUCUGGGGAGAGGAACAUGGUGGCCACAGCUGGAGUGACCGCAGUGUACAGAGAUGGGAUGGGAGCAGGAAACCCAAAAGAGCCGGCCCUGGAACCAGGUGGAGGGGAGGCAGCCCGGCCAUGACCCAGAGCAGG
Molecule: long non-coding RNA, 1068 nt
Filed under: Homo sapiens (human)
Lineage: Eukaryota; Metazoa; Chordata; Mammalia; Primates; Hominidae
Description: HSALNT0314580
Source: RNAcentral